This 235-nucleotide long non-coding RNA is filed under the name Elaeis guineensis (African oil palm). RNAcentral describes it as "long non-coding RNA (EGUI_LNC018096)". The record is from RNAcentral. Lineage: Eukaryota; Viridiplantae; Streptophyta; Magnoliopsida; Arecales; Arecaceae.
GGAAUUUAGAGUGCUUCAAGUUCUUCAAAAUUUUUGGAUAGCUUUUUAACAUUCUGUAAAUAAUGAGCCAUUGUAGAAUUCUUGGUUUCAAAUUGAUCCCAGACUUGGCCGAUGACAAGUUGCGAGUCUGUAAAAAUCUUUAAUUUUCUGACUCUGAGUUCUUUUGCCAUUUUGAGAUCCACCGUUAGAGCUUUAUAUUCAGCACCAUUAUUGAAAGUGUUAAAAUUAAACCUUU